GAUGAACGCUGGCGGCGUGCCUAAUACAUGCAAGUCGAACGCUGGAAAUCUAGCUUGCUAGAUUGAAGGAGUGGCGAACGGGUGAGUAAUACAUAAGCAACCUACCCACGAAGACUGGGAUAAUCUCUGGAAACGGGGACUAAUACCGGAUAGGUAAUCGGAAGGCAUCUUCUGAUUAUUAAAGGUUACAAUCACUGGUGGAUGGGCUUAUGGCGCAUUAGGUAGUUGGUGAGGUAACGGCCCACCAAGACGAUGAUGCGUAGCCGGCCUGAGAGGGUGAACAGCCACAUUGGGACUGAGACACGGCCCAGACGCCUACGGGAGGCAGCAGUAGGGAAGUUUCGGCAAUGGGGGAAACCCUGACCGGGCAACGCCGCGUGAGUGAUGACGGCCUUCGGGUUGUAAAGCUCUGCUGUAAGGGAAGAACGGUAGAUAGAGAAUAUCUAAAUGACGGUACCUUACCAGAAAGCCACGGCUAACUACGUG
RNAcentral lists this ribosomal RNA (486 nucleotides) under uncultured bacterium. Its description in RNAcentral is "partial 16S ribosomal RNA". It matches the Rfam family "Bacterial small subunit ribosomal RNA", at positions 28 to 507 of the family's 1533-position model. The record is from RNAcentral.